UGGUACCACAUGCAUUAGUAAUGUCUAGGAUUGACAUUCAUGAAGUUGAAGCAUCAGAGUUGCAUUAGGUUAUAUGUGUGCAUUACUUGAUAAGUGAUAUAUGACAUAUAAUUUGGCUAAGUGUGAUGAAUUGUAGAUUGAUUAUUUGGUACUUGAUUAUACAUGUUUAGAACUUGUAAUUGAGUAGUUAAUGGUGAUGCAUGUUUAUAAAUUAUGAAUAUGCUUGUUGUUGUUGAAGGAGUGUUUAAGUAC
RNAcentral lists this long non-coding RNA (252 nucleotides) under Trifolium pratense (red clover). RNAcentral's name for it is "long non-coding RNA (TPRA_LNC007747)". The record is from RNAcentral. Lineage: Eukaryota; Viridiplantae; Streptophyta; Magnoliopsida; Fabales; Fabaceae.